This 287-nucleotide unclassified non-coding RNA is filed under the name Hevea brasiliensis (rubber tree). The record is from RNAcentral. Lineage: Eukaryota; Viridiplantae; Streptophyta; Magnoliopsida; Malpighiales; Euphorbiaceae.
GCCAUGAACUCGUAAACCAGCAAUUUAUGAUUGUUAUCCGAACAAUACCCAAGCAAUGCCAGUAAAUAUGGGGAAUGUAGGCGGCUCAGCAAUUCCACCUCCAUUUUAAAUUCAUCUUCUCCCUGUUUCCCUGCUUGAUCCAUGAAUUUCACUGCAACUUUCCUUCCAUCAUUGAGAACUCCACGGUAUACUGACCCAAAACCACCAUGCCCAACCAUAUUUGACUUGCUGAAACCACCAGUAGCUGAAUGUAGCUGCUUAAAAGUGAACACCUGAAGUCCUUUCUC